UACAGAGGGGGCGAGCGUUAUUCGGAAUUAUUGGGCGUAAAGGGCGCGUAGGCGGCCAAGCAAGUCUCGGGUGAAAUCCCUCGGCUCAACCGAGGAACUGCCUCGGAUACUGCUUGGCUUGAGGCCGGGAGAGGGUGGUGGAAUUCCCAGUGUAGCGGUGAAAUGCGUAGAUAUUGGGAGGAACACCAGUGGCGAAGGCGGCCACCUGGACCGGUCCUGACGCUGAGGCGCGAAAGCGUGGGGAGCAAACAGG
This 253-nucleotide ribosomal RNA is filed under the name uncultured bacterium. RNAcentral describes it as "partial 16S ribosomal RNA". It matches the Rfam family "Bacterial small subunit ribosomal RNA", at positions 524 to 776 of the family's 1533-position model. The record is from RNAcentral.